GCAAGAAAUAUUAUUUCUCUUAUCUUACUGUUGAUGUUUGAGCAGGGUAUUGAGCUGUGUUUAUAUUCUGUAUUAGAGUCCUAACUAUUUUUCCCUGCCUUUCCUUCCUAGUAGAAGUGACGUAACUUAAUGGGUAAAAUGUGGACUCUGGACUUCUAUGGCCUUGGCCCAGAUUCCACCAUGGGGCCUACCACUCAUGCCUGCCAUGCUUCCGUUCCUUUUCUGCAAGAGUAGUAUUAGUAACAUCUUAGGACUGCUUUGAGGUUGAAAUGAAUUAAUAUUUUUAAAGCACUUAGAAUACUGUCUCAGACUCAAGAUAUUAGAUAUUAUCAUUUUAUCUUACAUAUUCUGAAUUACUCUGCAAAAAAAAUUUGGCAACCAAAUAUUAUCUCUCACCUUAUUGCUGCUAGUGCCUUGAUUUUUUUCUUUUUUUCUUUUUCCUUUUCUUUUUCUUUUUUAGUUUUCUUCAAGUAAUUCAGAAGUAGAUCCUGACUGGGCUAGGACAGGGAUUGACAAACUAUAGCCCAUCAGCCAGAUCUGGUCCACAGCCCAUGUUUGUAGCCUACAAGCAGAGAAUAAAUUUUUAUUACUAAAUGGUUGAAAAUUAAGAAUAUUUUGUGGCAUAUUAAAAUUAUAUUCAAAUUUCAAUGUCUAUAACUGAAGUGUUUUGAGAAAACUCAUACAAACAAACCACAUUUCUUUUUUUUUUUUUUUUUUUUGGUACCAGGGAUCGAACUCAGGUCCUUGCGCUUGCACAGCAGGCAGUGAAACCACUGAGCUAAAUCCCUGGCGCAAACCCCAUUUCUUUAGGGCUUGCCUGUGGCAGCCUUUACACUAUACCAGCAGAGUUGAAUAGCUGUGCACAGAGCCCAAGACAUUUACUACACGGCACUUUACAAAGUAAGUUUUCUGUUACCUAGAGCCAAAAACAUUACAGCCACCUACAAGUAUACUUUUAUAAAGGUCAUGUGUUUUGGAAAUGAUGCACACAGCAAUCUGUGGCUAAGUUUUUUCUGUAGUAUAUGUAUUUUGUGCACUAUAUAUGUUAAAAGCUUAAGCUUAAUAGUAUUUUUUCAAUGAAAUGUGUUUUUUUACUAGCUGAAUUGUCAUAAUAUCAAAAAGAAAAAUUUCUUGGUGGAGUGUAACAAAUAUAUGAAAUAAAUGUUGUCUAAAUGAAACUGAA
Molecule: long non-coding RNA, 1183 nt
Filed under: Heterocephalus glaber (naked mole-rat)
Lineage: Eukaryota; Metazoa; Chordata; Mammalia; Rodentia; Bathyergidae
Description: lncRNA (ENSHGLG00000037823.1)
Source: RNAcentral